GACGAACGCUGGCGGCGUGCCUAAUACAUGCAAGUAGAACGCUGAAGGAGGAGCUUGCUUCUCUGGAUGAGUUGCGAACGGGUGAGUAACGCGUAGGUAACCUGCCUGGUAGCGGGGGAUAACUAUUGGAAACGAUAGCUAAUACCGCAUAAUAGCAGUUAUUGCAUGAUAACUGUUUGAAAGGUGCAAUUGCACCACUACCAGAUGGACCUGCGUUGUAUUAGCUAGUUGGUGGGGUAACGGCUCACCAAGGCGACGAUACAUAGCCGACCUGAGAGGGUGAUCGGCCACACUGGGACUGAGACACGGCCCAGACUCCUACGGGAGGCAGCAGUAGGGAAUCUUCGGCAAUGGACGGAAGUCUGACGGAGCAACGCCGCGUGAGUGAAGAAGGUUUUCGGAUCGUAAAGCUCUGUUGUAAGAGAAGAACGAGUGUGAGAGUGGAAAGUUCACACUGUGACGGUAUCUUACCAGAAAGGGACGGCUAACUACGUG
RNAcentral lists this ribosomal RNA (495 nucleotides) under uncultured bacterium. Its description in RNAcentral is "partial 16S ribosomal RNA". It matches the Rfam family "Bacterial small subunit ribosomal RNA", at positions 28 to 507 of the family's 1533-position model. The record is from RNAcentral.